GCCACAAAUACUCAAUAAAAACCACUUCUUAUAACAAUGGCUUUCUGAAGGGCAUCUCUAAAAACAUACAGCUCUGAUUCUUCAAGUGAAUGGGCUUAACGCAGCAGACGGCCAUAGCAUAUUCCACUACAACCAGCUAAGAACAAGAAGAUGAGAACAGCAGACAUGUUAGCAGGAAAACAGGACUACUGGCUAUUGGCGAAAUUACAGUAUCUUGCCUUGUGUCAUAAGUCCACUGGGCAAUCUAAAGGGGUUUGUUUUUAUGGGGACGUUUUUAUAUUAGUCUAUAUUAACAAAUAAGCAACAUUUGAAUGUGACUGCCUAACUAAAUGUUGUUAGUCAUGUGCAUCCCUGGACUGAUUGUUCCAAAUGUCGGUGCUGACCCAAUGGUUAAAAACAAAUGGCCUAUUCAUUUUGAAAGAUAACAACGUUAUGAUUACUUUUAUAGCCACACAUUUUCUAGAACAGUCUACAUUUUCAAGCAGGAUAAUGUUCCAUGUCACAAAGCACACAUCAUCUCAAGUUGUUUCCAUUUGCAUGACAGUUGCUCCUGUUUACUCCAAAGAAAAACACAUUCCCCAUAUUUCAAUUCAAGAGGAUAUUUCUGUGAAAUUCACAGCAUUAUUUGUGUUUCCAAAAUUCUAAAAAAGAAUAUGUGAU
Pelobates cultripes (western spadefoot toad) is the source of this 660-nucleotide non-coding RNA. NCBI's taxonomy places the organism in Eukaryota, Metazoa, Chordata, Amphibia, Anura, Pelobatidae. The record is from the annotation of a GenBank genome assembly.